RNA transcript from Condylostylus longicornis, 3752 nucleotides. It is a transcript of the gene named trehalase, with no coding region annotated. The transcript is spliced from 7 exons. NCBI's taxonomy places the organism in Eukaryota, Metazoa, Arthropoda, Insecta, Diptera, Dolichopodidae. The record is from RefSeq and is a predicted model, not a curated record.
AAAAUAUUCUAUAAUAAUUUUAAUUAAUAAAAAAAUUUUUAAAAAUUAAAACAAAAUGUUUAGAAAUAAUUUACGUGUAAGACUGUUAUUUAUGUUAAAUCUAUAUACUAGUGUACGAUUAAAUUCAUCAGCAUCAGUAUUAAAAAAUCGAAUAAGUUUAUGUAAUCGUACCGAAGAAUCAUUAGAAUUAGUUCCAACAUGUUUUAGCAAAGUUUACUGUUAUGGCAAACUACUGGAUACCAUUCAAAUGGCAAAAAUGUAUCCCGAUUCAAAGACAUUCGUUGACAUGAAAAUGAAAUAUGAACCAAAACAAACUUUACAGAAAUUUGAAGAACUUAUGCAAAAACAUGCUGAUAAGCCAUCAACUGAUGUUUUGCAGGAGUUUGUUAAGAACAAUUUCGCUGAGCCUGGCGCCGAAUUUGAAAAUUGGGAUCCCGUUGAUUGGACUGAGAGACCACGUUUUUUGGAUUCAGUUCGUGAUCCGGAUCUUCGUCAAUGGGGUAGUGAUUUAAAUGGUUUAUGGAAAAUUUUAGGACGUAAAAUGAUUCCUGAUGUUGCUAAAAAUCCUGAACUUUAUUCAAUAAUUCAUGUUGAUCAUCCAGUUAUAAUACCAGGUGGUCGUUUUAGAGAAUUUUAUUAUUGGGAUUCAUAUUGGAUUAUUCGUGGAUUGCUUUAUUCUGAAAUGUUUGAUACAACCAAAGGAAUGUUAAAAAAUUUCUUAUCAAUUGUUCAACGUUAUGGAUUUGUACCAAAUGGUGGUCGUAUUUAUUAUUCAAAAAGAUCACAACCACCUUUAUUAGCAGCUAUGGUGAAAUCAUAUGUAGAUUAUACUGGCGAUGAUAAAUUUGCUAUAGACUCAGUUAAAACUUUAGAAUAUGAAUUUGAAUUUUGGAUGAAUAAUCAUUCACACGUUAUUGAUGGACAUUGUUUAGUUGCGUAUGGUGAUAAAUCGAGUGGUCCUAGACCUGAAUCAUAUAGUGAAGAUAUUGAAACUGGUCAUUAUUUAGAAACAGAAGAUGAAAAACAAGAAUUAUAUAGUGAAUUAAAAGCAGCGGCAGAAUCUGGUAUGGAUUUUUCAAGCCGCUGGUUUAUAACAUCAAAUGGUACAAAUGAAGGAAUGCUAAAAGAUUUAAAAACAAGAUCUAUUAUACCAGUUGAAUUAAAUGCAAUCAUGUUUUGGAAUGCGAAAAUUAUUGCAGAAUUUUAUUCAAAAGCUGGGGAUGUAAAAAAAUGCGCUGAAUAUGAAGCAAAAGCUCAAGAUAUUUUAAAAGCUAUUGAAGCUGUAUUAUGGCAUGAAGAUGUUGGAGCAUGGCUUGAUUACGAUUUAAUAAAUAACAAAAGAAGAAAUUAUUUUGUGCCAACAAAUUUAUCACCACUUUGGAUGAAAUGUUAUGAUAUCACUAAGUCUGAACAUAUAUCUGAACGUGUUUUAAAAUAUAUAGAAAAUGUUGGUAUAGAUAAAUAUCCUGGCGGUGUUCCAAAUACAUUAUUAAAUACUGGAGAACAAUGGGAUUUCCCAAAUGUAUGGCCACCAAUGCAAUAUAUAUUAAUCAUAGGUUUAGAUAAUUUAGGAACACCAGAAGCAAAAAGAUUAGCCGAGAAAUGGACUAAAAGAUGGGUACAAUCGAAUUUCGAGGCAUAUAAAUCAUCACAGCAUAUGUAUGAGAAGUAUAAUGCGGAAAUUUUCGGCGGUUAUGGCGGAGGUGGUGAAUAUGAUGUUCAAGUUGGUUUUGGUUGGUCAAAUGGUGUUAUUAUCGAAUUAUUAACUCGUUAUGGCCAUUUAUUAAAGCCAGCAGUGAAUGGUAACUCUUCAUUAAACUGAAAAGCUCACAAAUAAUAUUUAGUGACAAUAAAAUAAUAAGUCAUCUCAGUGCUGUGUUUAAAAAUUUAAAAAUAAUAAAAAACAUUAUAAUAAAGACAAAACAUGAAACAAAUAAAAAACGCACAUAUUUGUUACGAAUAAAUAAAACCCACCUCGCUGUAGUAUAUAGAAUUAUUAAAUAUAUAACAAUUUUAUGUUUUGUAUUAUAAAUAAUAUUCAAAUAUGUAUAUAUUUAGUAAAAAUUGUUUUAAAAUUAAAUUAUUUAUAAUGUCGCACAAUCAACUAAUAAAUCAAAUAAUAAUUAUAAGGAUAAUAAUAAUUAAGAAGGAACAAAUCAUCAAAUUCACAAUAAUUUAAAUGCAUUGUUAUUAUGUACUUUAUGUUUAAUAUCUGUCAAACGUGAAUUAUUGUUUAACAAUAAAAUUCUUAUAAUCAUUGUACAUCAGUUUGGAACAUCAUAAUAUGGAACGAAUGCUAAUCGAUUGUAAAAAUAAAUAAAUAAAUAUAAUAAAAGUAAUGGAAAUAUUUUCAGUUCAACAAGUAAAUUAAUUGGUAGUAUGCUGGUUGCAACAUUAGUAUUACCUAGUAUACGUAAAUAUAUUUGGUAAGGAUUUGGUAAUCAUUUCGGAAGUAUUUGCAGGCAGAAAAUACAUAUUUUAAUUUGUAAAAUAUUUUGUACUGUGUCUUAUGUUCUGUUUAGCCCUUUAACUUUCUGUCAUCAAAAGGAUCCAAAUGACACUUUGGUGGUUUUAAAUUUAAACCAAAUGUUUGCUUUUGGUGUGAUUUUUUUUUUAAUUGAUAAAUGUUUUAAGAAUAUUAUUAUGUAUUUAAAAAAAAGCAUUUAGAGGCUACCAAAAAUAUUGUCCUAAAAUUUAAAUAAGCUAAUUUAGACAAAUUUUAAUGUGUAAUUAGCAUGCUAUUGAUUUAAUUAAUUGAAAUUUUUAAAAAAAAUAUUUUUAAUUUUAAGUAAAAUUAAGAAUAUCGAAUAUGAAUAUUGUUAUUGUAUGAAUUUGCUUGUUGCUAAAUACAUUUUCAUUAAUUUAUUAACAUAUUUUUUACAUGAAAUUUUCUUAACUGAAACUUUUCUUAUCAUUUAUAAGUAAAAUUAAUUGUCUAAAAAAAUUUUUUGUAAUCAUAGUAAUUAAAGAAAUUCACAAACAAAUUAAAUUAAUAAAAGAUAUUUUCAAAGUGAAUUUUCACAAACAAUCAAAUUCGUAGAAAUUUAAAAACUACAUUAUAUUUCAAUGCGAAAAUAUUAUUUACGCGAUUGGUUACUAGAAUUAAUUCAAUUUAAAUGUAUAAUGUGAGACGAUCAAUCUAGAAAUAUUUAAUAAAAGAGUUGAUGAAAAAUUUUAGGGAAUUCUAUUAAGCACUAUCAUAAGUAAAUCGAUAUUUUAUAGAUUUAUUUUUUUCACAGAAUAGAAAUGUGUACUUAAUUAUUAAAUAAAGCUUAUACCAACGUAAUCUGCAUUAUGGUUAAAAUAAAAAUAAUAUGAUAAUAAAUUUUAAAUUAAGAAUAUUCGGAAUGCUUUACUGUAUUAUUAAAUUUAAGUAGAACGAUUUAAUCUAUUAAGUUGUAGGAAAAACAUUUAAGCUUUAAAAAAUUUUAUAUAUUAUUUUAUAAUAUUAAAUCAAAAAAUGCAGAAAAAACAAAAUAAUAUUAAAAUAUCAUAAGAAUUCUCUAUGUUAAUUAUUUAUAAACCAAAAAGAACAUUUUAUGCUUGCGUUUUAUUUGUUAAGUUUAUUCAAAAAAAAAAAAAAAAUUAAUUCUCGAAAUAUUAGAAUCGUUAUAUUAAAAAUUUAUUUAAAUUAACUUAAAAGAAUUGCAAAAAACAACAAGAUCAACACCAAAUCAAAUUUUAUUUGAUUUUUUAUUUAUUCUUUUCUUCUAUUUUAGAAUAUAAGUAUGAUAUAAUUACAAUAAUAAUUG